NNNNNNNNNNNNNNNNNNNNNNNNNNNNNNNNNNNNNNNNNNNNNNNNNNNNNNNNNNNNNNNNNNNNNNNNNNNNNNNNNNNNNNNNNCCGGGGCCGGGGCCGGGUGCUGCGGGCGCGGGGCCGGGCCCGGGGCGCAGGGACCAGCCCGGUACCGGCGCCGGCCCCGGGGCGCGGAUGGGCAGCGCGGGGCUCGGGGGCGCCUGGGGCCUCCGCGGGGCUCCUUGGCCCUGGGCCGCCUGCAGGAGCCCCGUGACCUCCGCCCCGUCGGUCGGGCUGUGGGUCCCGGUGCCUCUGGGGCAGCAUGGAGCUGCGGGGACCCUGGGCAGCCCCGCACCGUCCCCUUGCCACCAGCGUCCUCCUGUCGCACCGGCCCCUGGAUGCUGCUGGCCUGGCUGGUGCUGGUCCAAGUCAGGGUCCGGGUCCGGGUCCUGGUCCUGGUCCUGGUCCUGGUCCGCUCAGCUCCCCCUUGUCCUGGCCAGUCUUUGGGUCUGGGUCACGAUGGCAGCACCUGGGUCCCAGCACCAGUCACCUCAGCUCCUCCAGGUCCCAGCCAGCCCAGGCUGGCCCAGGUCUGAGUGGCUCAGCCUGGCCCGCGAGAGGCAGCUCCCGGCGUGUCCUCAUGCUGUCAGCCGUCCCCUCCCUGCCUCCUGCCCCAGUGAAGUGGUGUGUGGCUGGGCUCCAGUACCCCCAGUCCAGGCACCCCCAGAGGGGACCCUCAGCGGGGGCAGCCAGGACCAGCCCCCACGCCCUGGGGUGGCCGUGGGCCCAUGCAACACGCCCCCCCGCUGCCAGCCAGAGCCUGCCCCAACUCCGGCCCCGUCCUCGCCAGGCGGUGAGAAAUGAGGCUGGGGCCGGGGUGAGCGCCCGCAUCUGGGGUGAGCGCGGGAGGGCCUGGCCCCAUUUGUACCUGCCAGGAGCAGUUCCUGGGAGGGACGGCCGCGCUGGGGGCUGCGGGGGUCACAGCUGGGCCAGCACAGCCCUGGGGCUGGGCAGCAUCGCUCACUGCCAGCUCCGCACCGCACCGAGCACCAGAAGUGCACCACACAGCGGCACCAGCACUGCGUGGAGCAAGGUCACCGUGCCGAGCACCGGCACCGCGGCACCGCCGGCACCGCAGCGAGCGCAGCCCCAAUCCGUCUCCCUGCACGCGCACCCUGGCACGGCACGGCCACACACUCUGCAUGCGCAGCCCUGCGCCCCGCUGUCCCCUCAGCCCCCCCAGGCUGGGCUGUGGCCCAGGCCAGCAGGCGGACGUCCUGGUGGUGACCCUGGGGCUGCGGUGGCUCUGCUGGGACAGGAGCAACCCCAGGAGAGGUGCCCAGGGACAGGGACGGGCACUGGUGUGUGCAGGCACCCAGCUGCCACGCCUGCUGGCACACAUCCCCACGGGAUCGGCCCACCCAGGGGCACCACGCGCGCUCCGUGCCGGGUGUGCUGUCCCCUCAGCCCAGCCUGUGGUGCGGAUGCACUGUCCCCACACGUGCCCUCACCCCGACACCUGCUGCACGGAGGACACGUCCAUACCCCACACACACACGUGUCACCCUGCGUGCUGUCCCCAGUCGUGCCCAGGCGCACGCCGACACCUCCUGGCACGCCGGCAGUGCCAGUGCCCGGGCUGGGAGCGCGGGUGAGGAGCGGGGUGUGCGGGGUGGCAGGGGCUGGGGACAGGUGGCAGCAGGACACGGGCGUCCACAUCAGCCUGGGCCCCCAGGGCCACGUUUGCAGCCUGGCACGCGCGGGGCCGCACAGCUCCAUCUCCCGAUGCAUAAUUAAUGCCUGGGCGGCAGCCGGCGCUUCCCUGGCCUCCGCGAAGCUCCGGGGCCGGGCAGGCCGGUGCUUUUAGCAGAGACCUGCUC
This is a long non-coding RNA of Anser cygnoides (Swan goose), 1861 nucleotides long. NCBI's taxonomy places the organism in Eukaryota, Metazoa, Chordata, Aves, Anseriformes, Anatidae. The record is from Ensembl.